UGCUUGACUCGGGUUUCUGAGAUCAAUAUUGACGACGUGGCCGGUCCGGGCGUCGCAGAGAACACCAGUCCAGUUGCAGCAGUCUUGUCCGGACCAAGAAGAGAGCCGACCGGAAAGAUCGGUAAGUGAUUGUUUGAAGGUGAGAAGAGCUUGUCUCUCGGUGGAUAUGCAUUUGGGAGUAGAUGCUGAUCCGGAAUCAAAACUAUUGAGAAGAAAGAUGAGAAUAAAAGAGGAGAAGAAGAAGCUUGGCUUGAGUUUGAGGUCCAUACUUGAGCUAUGUUUUGUUUGUUUGUUUGGUUUCUUUUGUCAAAACGUUUAUAUAGACGUUGAACCGCAGACGUAUUAGACCAGCAUUUUGUAUAAUACACAAACCGAUUCAUGUGCGUAUUUUUCUACGCCUAUAUCUGUAUCAGAUACGAACGCGGUUGAGACGGGUCAGAGACUGAUGGAUCUUACCCCGCAAGCAACCUCUUUUAUACUCAUCGGAGUUCACUGCUUGACUCGGGUUUCUGAGAUCAAUAUUGACGACGUGGCCGGUCCGGGCGUCGCAGAGAACACCAGUCCAGUUGCAGCAGUCUUGUCCGGACCAAGAAGAGAGCCGACCGGAAAGAUCGGUAAGUGAUUGUUUGAAGGUGAGAAGAGCUUGUCUCUCGGUGGAUAUGCAUUUGGGAGUAGAUGCUGAUCCGGAAUCAAAACUAUUGAGAAGAAAGAUGAGAAUAAAAGAGGAGAAGAAGAAGCUUGGCUUGAGUUUGAGGUCCAUACUUGAGCUAUGUUUUGUUUGUUUGUUUGGUUUCUUUUGUCAAAACGUUUAUAUAGACGUUGAACCGCAGACGUAUUAGACCAGCAUUUUGUAUAAUACACAAACCGAUUCAUGUGC
RNAcentral lists this long non-coding RNA (877 nucleotides) under Brassica napus (rape). RNAcentral describes it as "long non-coding RNA (BNAP_LNC024293)". The record is from RNAcentral. Lineage: Eukaryota; Viridiplantae; Streptophyta; Magnoliopsida; Brassicales; Brassicaceae.